This 488-nucleotide ribosomal RNA is filed under the name uncultured bacterium. RNAcentral's name for it is "bacterial SSU rRNA". It matches the Rfam family "Bacterial small subunit ribosomal RNA", at positions 8 to 507 of the family's 1533-position model. The record is from RNAcentral.
AGAGUUUGAUCAUGGCUCAGGAUGAACGCUGGCGGCGUGCCUAAUACAUGCAAGUCGAGCGAACCACUUCGGGUGGUGAGCGGCGAACGGGUGAGUAACACGUAGGUGAUCUGCCCAUCAGACGGGGACAACGAUUGGAAACGAUCGCUAAUACCGGAUAGGACGAAAGUUUAAAGGUGCUUCUGGCACCGCUGAUGGAUGAGCCUGCGGCGCAUUAGCUAGUUGGUAGGGUAAAGGCCUACCAAGGCGACGAUGCGUAGCCGACCUGAGAGGGUGAACGGCCACACUGGGACUGAGACACGGCCCAGACUCCUACGGGAGGCAGCAGUAGGGAAUCUUCGGCAAUGGGCGAAAGCCUGACCGAGCAACGCCGCGUGAAUGAUGAAGGCCUUCGGGUUGUAAAAUUCUGUUAUAAGGGAAGAACGACUUUAGUAGGAAAUGGCUAGAGUGUGACGGUACCUUAUGAGAAAGCCACGGCUAACUACGUG